This 944-nucleotide long non-coding RNA is filed under the name Nicotiana benthamiana. Its description in RNAcentral is "long non-coding RNA (NBEN_LNC026798)". The record is from RNAcentral. Lineage: Eukaryota; Viridiplantae; Streptophyta; Magnoliopsida; Solanales; Solanaceae.
CUGUCCGAGUUGUGAGGUCAGUUGGUGCAUUUAACAUUUUGAUUAAAAAGGUAGAUAACUGAAACGAUUCUUGCUAUCCCUUCUUUUGACUGGAAACUGGCUGAUUUAUUGUUGCGUUAGUCACUCUUGGGCUGGUCAAUAAAGUAUAUGUAGUUGGCUUAUUUAUCUUCCACAGUGUGAUGUUAUGUAUCAUAUAGAUGUUAAGUUUCAUGUCAGAGCAGCCAAGUUUGCAUGAGUAGCUGAUGUACUUGUGAUUGUUCUUGACAUUCCAUGCAAUUGCUGUUGUUUUUUCUAAUUUUUUAAAGUAGCAAGUAGGGUAAUUGUUAUCCGAUCUAUGUUGCAAUUUUAUUUUUUAGCUUCAGGAUGCCGGCUUUACAACAACAACAACAACUACCCAGUAUACUCCCACCAGGUGGGGUCUGGGGAGUGUAAUAUGUAGACAAGCCUUACCCCUACCCGAAAGGGCAGAGAGGCUGUUUCCAAUCGACCCCCGGCUCAUAGGGGGGAGGGUAAUAUGUACACAAGCCUUACCUCUACCCGAAAGGGCAGAGGGGCUAUUUCCAAUCGACCCCCGACUCAUAGGAUAAAAGUAAAAACAGCAGUAAAACAAAAAGAAAGACAAAAACAAAACAAUAAAGUAUUAGUAACUCCGGCAGAAAUAGCGUAAAUAGCGUAAAUAAUUAUCUAAACAUACGAAACAUAAAUACAAUCGCAUGCAAUAAUAUCAUACAGUAACUAUCAUAACUAACAGCCAUAGGGGGAACAUCAGCUAAAACACAAAUCAUCUAUGGAUAACCCUGCUGACCCACACCCAACCCCGAAUGAGGCGUACGAAAAGCUCAGGAUGCCGACUUUCUGCUAUUGAAAUGUUUUGGCCUUUGACAACAUAAUAAUAUCUAUCAGUAUCCACUAGUUGAGUGGAGUUACUAAUAGUCUAUUUGGUG